RNAcentral lists this long non-coding RNA (673 nucleotides) under Lathyrus oleraceus (garden pea). RNAcentral's name for it is "Pisum sativum (pea) long non-coding RNA (PSAT_LNC038672)". The record is from RNAcentral. Lineage: Eukaryota; Viridiplantae; Streptophyta; Magnoliopsida; Fabales; Fabaceae.
UUAAAAUCUAAAAUAGUUUUUCUUAAGAACCAAAUCGGAUAAAGUAAAAAAAAAACAAUUAAAAAAUUGGAUAAUAAGGAUAAUGGAAAAAACAUUUUAGUUAAUAUUGAUUUUGGGAAAUUUUACCUUUCAAAUUGGUUUGGAGAAAAAUCAACUUUUUAACCUAUUUAAGCAUGUUAUUGAUGUGAAUCGGUUUUUGAACCCAACCAACUCAAAUAAAAAUUGGUAAAGGAGUUUUAAGAACCAAAUUCAACCAUAUGUUUGUAUCGAUUUGGUUUCGUUUUAGAAUAAUGCAAAACCCUAAUUAUAAGGCAUCAAAGUUGGUUUAGCAAAAGUACUAGACACUAUCAUUGAGUUUGUUUCCAACUAAAAAGAAGGUCAAUGAAUCAAAAAGAGGGCCAAUGAACAGAGAUAGAGAUAGGACAUUCCAUGGCAAGAAUGACACUAUGAUAUCUUCAAAGAAUGCAUUACCAUUGCCAAGAUAGCAAACAAAACUUCCAAGAUAUUGACAAUUAUGAUCUUUAAAUAAUCGUCCACAAGAUGCAAUGUUAUGAGUUUUAAUUGAUGUUUAGUUAAUAUUCCUUUUGAUUCAUAUUAAAUUAUAGAAUUAUGUUGUUUUCUGUUUUUAAUCUCCAACUUCUUUUCCUAUUUUGGUGCAUAUAGUUAGGUUUAG